UCAUGAUCUCGCUCUUCACUUCCACGGCUUGGAAUGAGUACUCCUGAAGUACAGAGAGCAGGGUGGCAUUUGGAAAUAUUUGGCCCGGGGAAGGUGCCAGAGAUGCAUAUACGCUCAAAUGGGUUUUGCCAAUUGCAACUUGCCUUCCCUGGUGAUUCGGCAUCUGGAUUCUCCAUCCUAGGAUGCUGAGAUCUUCCAGGGCCUCCUGAGUCAUCUCUGCUGUUCUAGAAGAGUCUCCUGGAGAGGGCAAACCACAGACUGCAGGCCAAAUCCAUUCCACCACCUGUCUCGUAAAUAAAGCUACUUUCAUUCUACAACAGAAUUGAGUACUUGUGACAGAGAUCUUUACAGAAAAUGUUUGCUGAAACCCAC
Cervus elaphus (red deer) is the source of this 372-nucleotide long non-coding RNA. RefSeq lists it as uncharacterized. The transcript is spliced from 3 exons. The record is from RefSeq and is a predicted model, not a curated record. Lineage: Eukaryota; Metazoa; Chordata; Mammalia; Artiodactyla; Cervidae.